CUCGUGUAUUUAGAACGUUCGUCUUUGUUAUUUUCACCGGGAAAUGUGCAUAAUGCAGAAGAAUAAUUAUUGGUUCUUUUGUUUUAAGUUUCACCCAUUAAAUGAGAUUUAGGGAUUCAGGCGUUACUUAGAAAAACAAAACCACGGUCUUUUGUUCGUUUAGUUCGUACAUGUAAUUCUUACUUCUUGUAUUUUUUAUAUCUAGUGUUUCGUACGUUUUUGAGUUCUGACGUUAAUUCGGUAAUGUCAGCGAUUUAAUCAUACUGGAGACCCUUGUAUCCUACUGUUAUGGUGAACAACUGUGAGAUGGGGAAAAUACAAAACUAGUGACGGCGAGGAUGUAUUCUAACCCAUAGAAGCUUACAUCUGCAAGUUCCGAUUCAGGUUAAAAAUCUUCAGAUGCAUAACUAACCAAGAUAGUUGCUAAUAUGGACUUGCCUUUCGAGAAGAAGUCAAGAAAUUAAAGGAAAAUGAUGAUCCUGAUUAUGAAUCAGGAGCAGGAUCACUGCCAGAGAACUCUUCAAAAAACUUCCUAAUCACCAUCGUCAGUUUUAGGACCUGGGAACGAAUAGCUGCCCUUGAAGGACUGCAAAGACCCCGCAAAUUAGACGACAGGGAUAUUCAUCGCUUGUCAUCACUUGGGCGAAAUCUCCUAUCAGUGACCCUAGUUGCACUAAGAAGCAAUAGUUAAAGAAGUUGGACAGCAAGCCUGAAGAAAGCGGGAUUGGAAAUUCAAACAAAAAGACUAAGACGUUGAUGCAUCUAGGGUCCGAAAGGCAGCUGCAAACUCCCUUUGGUAAUGCCUAGAGUGCACCACAUGAGGGUCACUGACUGCACUACCGGGUGUAAA
Macrobrachium nipponense is the source of this 850-nucleotide long non-coding RNA. RefSeq lists it as uncharacterized. NCBI's taxonomy places the organism in Eukaryota, Metazoa, Arthropoda, Malacostraca, Decapoda, Palaemonidae. The transcript has 4 exons. The record is from RefSeq and is a predicted model, not a curated record.